GACGAACGCUGGCGGCGUGCUUAACACAUGCAAGUCGAACGGAAAGGCCCUGCUUUUGUCGGGUGCUCGAGUGGCGAACGGGUGAGUAACACGUGAGUAACCUGCCCUCGACUUUGGGAUAACUUCAGGAAACUGGGGCUAAUACCGGAUAGGAGCUCCUGCUGCAUGGUGGGGGUUGGAAAGUUUCGGCGGUUGGGGAUGGACUCGCGGCUUAUCAGCUUGUUGGUGGGGUAGUGGCUUACCAAGGCUUUGACGGGUAGCCGGCCUGAGAGGGUGACCGGCCACAUUGGGACUGAGAUACGGCCCAGACUCCUACGGGAGGCAGCAGUGGGGAAUAUUGCACAAUGGGCGGAAGCCUGAUGCAGCAACGCCGCGUGCGGGAUGACGGCCUUCGGGUUGUAAACCGCUUUCGCCUGUGACGAAGCGUGAGUGACGGUAAUGGGUAAAGAAGCACCGGCUAACUACGUG
Molecule: ribosomal RNA, 468 nt
Filed under: uncultured bacterium
Lineage: Bacteria
Description: partial 16S ribosomal RNA
Rfam family: Bacterial small subunit ribosomal RNA
Source: RNAcentral